This 65-nucleotide transfer RNA is filed under the name Dipodomys ordii (Ord's kangaroo rat). It matches the Rfam family "tRNA". From Rfam's summary of the family: Transfer RNA (tRNA) molecules are approximately 80 nucleotides in length. Lineage: Eukaryota; Metazoa; Chordata; Mammalia; Rodentia; Heteromyidae. The record is from Rfam by way of RNAcentral.
GGUGGCUCAGUGGUAGAGUGCUUGCCUUUUAUGUAUGAGGUCCUGGGUUCGAUUCCUUAGUACCA